This 510-nucleotide RNase P RNA is filed under the name Terriglobia bacterium. RNAcentral's name for it is "RNase P RNA component class A". It matches the Rfam family "Bacterial RNase P class A". Rfam says of the family: Ribonuclease P (RNase P) is a ubiquitous endoribonuclease, found in archaea, bacteria and eukarya as well as chloroplasts and mitochondria. Its best characterised activity is the generation of mature 5'-ends of tRNAs by cleaving the 5'-leader elements of precursor-tRNAs. Lineage: Bacteria; Pseudomonadati; Acidobacteriota; Terriglobia. The record is from RNAcentral.
CGGAUGGGCCGGGUGAUCGCUGGUUCCGAUUCAUCGGAACGGGAGGAAAGUCCGGACACCGUGGCGCGGGCCGCAAGGCUGCGCGCUAAAGGGUAACGCGCCUGGUAACGCCAGGGGGCCGGGUUGGCGACGAUCCGGUCACGGACAGUGCCACAGAGAAGAUACCGCCGGCGAUGAUGAGCACGGUGACAGCUCGAAGGAAAACCUUCGAGACGUCUUCGCAAAGCUCGCGGCGCAUGGUAAGGGUGAAAAGGUGGGGUAAGAGCCCACCGCCCCGGUGGCGACAUCGGGGGCACGGCAAACCCCGCGUGGUGCAAGGCCAAAUAGGAGGGGAGGGCUGGCCCGGCCCGAAUAUCCGGAGUGCGCGCAAGCGGACGACGGGUUGCGACCCUCGGGUAGGCUGCUGGAGCCGCGGCGCGAGCCGCGGCCUAGAGGAAUGAUCGCCGCGGCAUGCAGGCCGAUGUUUGGACGCAUGCCGCACAGAAUCCGGCUUACAGGCCCAUCCGCCAA